AAAUAAUUGAACUACCACUUUCUCGAAAUUUCAAUUUCCCGACCGCAAUAUAAAAAAAAUCCCCAAAUUCCAAAUUUCAUCAUCUUCAAUGCACAAACCCUAGAAUUUCUGAUGUUUCUACUGGUUUUGUUUUGGGACGAAGAAAUGAGGUUAGGGAUCAUGUAUGUAGACUGCUGCUAUGGAAGACAAAAAGAAAAUCAUCUAAAAGGAAAAGCUGGAGGAAUCUAAUAGGUUGAAGGAUGACGAAAGAGUACCUUGGCUUCUGAAGUUGCAUUCAUCAAUGGAUGGUGCUGGUCCUCCUUCGACGUGUUGUAUCGCUCAAUUAUAGAUUUCAUGCUAUAGUGGCAAAACAGAGCUCCUCCAUUUGAAGUCAGGUGUACAUAUGUAUCUUAUCAUUAAACAAUUCUACUCUGUCAUUGGUCGAAACCCUGUACUCUACGACUUUUCUGAGUGCUGGACGAAUGAGAAGCCAUUUUGCUAGUCAAUGGCUAAUCGUAGGAACAAUUACGAGAAAUUCUUUUCUCUGGAAUAAGGUUCGUGAUGAAGUUUACUCGCAGUAGAACCCACAUGGUACCAUCUUUAUUCGAAUUAUUCAAGAUUCGCUUACCCACUACCAUGGCUUGUCUUAGCGCAACAAGCCAGGUUUUAUUUUUUUGCUAUAUCGUACAUUGAGCAUCGUUUUCAGUGGAUUUUUCUAUAGUUAACCACAACCUCUUAUUAUUAUUAUUAUUUUAUUUUUUUGAUCGAUGGCUCUGGAUUUUUUCUUUUACAUUUUUCGUAUAUGAUAUAAAAGUCCAUGUUGCGUAAUUCUACCGCUUCUAGUGAACAAAACUUAGUCAAAUUGCACACGAUCUGGGCCAUCAGGCACGUACGGACACAUCGUAUGCGCCGUUGAAGAAGGAGCAAGGAAACAUUGUUGAGGUUUUUAUGUAGUGAGUUCUGGAGGUUAUGGACAGUAAAGCAAAAGCUUAGCAGGUUUAUUUUUUGGAUCAAGAACUGAGGUUAGGAUCAUGUAGUCUGCUGAUAUUCGAAGACACAAAAAUAAACUCAUUCUAAAAGGAAAAACUGAGGAAAAUAACAGGUGGCUUAUGAAAGAGUACCUUAGCUUCUGAAUUUGCAUUCAUCAAUGGAUGGGGCUGGUCCUCCUUCAACGUAUUGUAUCGCUCGAUUAUAGAUUUCAUGCUGCAGUAGUAAAACAGAGAAUUUUAAUGCAGGCGCGGCAGGCCGUGUUUCAUUUUAUCGAUAUACCUUACAUUGAGCGUCGGUUGCACGCCAACUUUCGGUGGACUUUUCUAUAGAUAAUGGCAAGU
Papaver somniferum (opium poppy) is the source of this 1310-nucleotide long non-coding RNA. RefSeq lists it as uncharacterized. Lineage: Eukaryota; Viridiplantae; Streptophyta; Magnoliopsida; Ranunculales; Papaveraceae. The transcript has 9 exons. The record is from RefSeq and is a predicted model, not a curated record.